Camelina sativa (false flax) is the source of this 771-nucleotide non-coding RNA. The record is from RefSeq and is a predicted model, not a curated record. Lineage: Eukaryota; Viridiplantae; Streptophyta; Magnoliopsida; Brassicales; Brassicaceae.
AGGUAAUGAUUUUUUCAAGGAGCAGAAGUAUCCUGAUGCUCUUAAACAUUACACUGAAGCAAUCAAAAGGAACCCGAAAGACCCAAAAGGAUAUAGCAACCGAGCUGCGUGUUACAUUAAGCUAGGUGCAAUGGCUGAUGGAAAAAAGGAUGCAGAAAAGUGUAUUGAGAUUGAUCCAACCUUCUCUAAAGGAUACAGCAGAAAAGCUGCAGUUCAAUUCUUCUUGAAAGAGUAUGAGGAUGCGAUGAAAACAUACCAAGAGGGUCUCAAGCAUGAUCCGAAUAAUCAGGAACUUCUCGACGGUGUUAGUAGAUGUGUGAUGGAGCCUGCUUCAUGUGAAACUAUCCCGGAAAAGGGAGUGUUGAGUUUAGAGGUGAAGAGGUUUGUGAAGUGAAAAGAAGCAGAGGCUGUUUCCAAGGCUGGAGAAACCGUACAAGCUGUGAUGUUGGAGCCUGUCCCGAAAGAUGCAAUGCUGAGUUUAGAGGUCGAGACUUUUGUGAAGUGAAAAGAAGCAGAGGCUGGAGAAACUGUACAAGCUGUGAUGUUGGAGCCUGUCCCGAAAGAUGCAAUGCUGAGUUUAGAGGUCGAGACUUUUGUGAAGGGAAAAGAAGCAGAGGUAAAGAAUCUAAAAUCUUGUGAUGGAACCAAAACAGGGAAUAAGGAUUUUUGAGAUUUCUCAUGUUGGAAGUGUUUUGUGAAGUAGACUGUUUCCAAGGCUGCUGAAAAAGAAGUGAAGGUGUUACAAUACUAUAUUGUUUUAAAGGAUUUCGA